GACCACGACGGUCGCGACUAGAAAAGUUUGAAUAAAACAUUUGUUUGUUUUUAGUUCUACGGGACAAUUUCCUCGCAGUAAACGCCUUUUAUUGGCCCUGAAUGUAAUCGGAUUGAUGGGUUGCCUUAUUUUAACUAUUCUUUUAGUCCUAUGGGCUUUGGGAAUACUAUGGCCAGAGCCAAAUACAGCGGAGUUUAUGGUCCAAAUAUUAAAAGGAGCAAAAGCAAAGAGAGUUGGUCGAUAUAGAGAUGAAGUUUUUUGUGAAAAAUGUGGAAAUUUAUAUGAACUGUUAUUGGAUUUAUUCUAAAAAUUUAAUAACGUAACAGAUAAAGAUGAUAACACAAUGGAAUGGAAACGUACGUCAGUGGAGCUGGACUUCGCGUCCAAACCAGCUGUUUGCACAAUAACAUUUGUUAUCAUAUCCUCAGCUGGUAGACCUAACCUAACACUGCAUUGUCAUAAACAGUGAACUUAUAAAUAGCUCCAAUUAUGAUAGGGGCCACUAGUUCAUCUCAAACUGAUUUCAAACCAUCAAGCAACCACGUGUUCAACUGUGCGGCGCCCGGGCCUGGCUACAACAUCGCAGGGGACAUUUUCAACCUGUCGCUGUUACUCAUGGCCGUGGGUGUGGCCAUCGUUGUCUUGUUUACACUGUUUGUCAAAAUCUACUAACAACACAUAUGAACAGGGUGGGCCCGAAUAUUAACCAUAGACUCCAAUUUUUACUCGGAAUAAAAAUGGUAUAAAAACGUUUUAUUUAUUAAGGAUUGGUUUGCAACAUUCACGUUAGAAUGAAUGAAUAAAAGUCACCGUACCCAUCGUAUUUUAAAAAUACUAUAAGCAUUUCGACAUUUUUAAGUUGCAAGUAACGCUGAGGAAUAUGUGGUUA
Long non-coding RNA from Cydia splendana, 889 nucleotides. RefSeq lists it as uncharacterized. The record is from RefSeq and is a predicted model, not a curated record. NCBI's taxonomy places the organism in Eukaryota, Metazoa, Arthropoda, Insecta, Lepidoptera, Tortricidae. The transcript has 4 exons.